GGGAACUUGCCUUUGCGAGGGGGAUAACAGUUGGAAACGACUGCUAAUACCGCAUAAUGUCUUCGGACCAAACGGGGCUUCGGCUCCGGCGCAAAGAGAGGCCCAAGUGAGAUUAGCUAGUUGGUAAGGUAACGGCUUACCAAGGCGACGAUCUCUAGCUGUUCUGAGAGGAAGAUCAGCCACACUGGGACUGAGACACGGCCCAGACUCCUACGGGAGGCAGCAGUGGGGAAUAUUGCACAAUGGGGGAAACCCUGAUGCAGCCAUGCCGCGUGUGUGAAGAAGGCCUUCGGGUUGUAAAGCACUUUCAGUUGUGAGGAAAAGUUAGUAGUUAUACCUGCUAGCCGUGACGUUAACAACAGAAGAAGCACCGGCUAACUCCGUGCCAGCAGCCGCGGUAAUACGGAGGGUGCGAGCGUUAAUCGGAAUUACUGGGCGUAAAGCGCACGCAGGCGGUUUGUUAAGCUAGAUGUGAAAGCCCCGGGCUCAACCUGGGAUGGUCAUUUAGAACUGGCAGACUAGAGUCUUGGAGAGGGGAGUGGAAUUCCAGGUGUAGCGGUGAAAUGCGUAGAUAUCUGGAGGAACAUCAGUGGCGAAGGCGACUCCCUGGCCAAAGACUGACGCUCAUGUGCGAAAGUGUGCGUAGCGAACAGGAUUAGAUACCCUGGUAGUCCACACCGUAAACGCUGUCUACUAGCUGUGUGU
This 705-nucleotide ribosomal RNA is filed under the name Alteromonas macleodii. RNAcentral's name for it is "bacterial SSU rRNA". It matches the Rfam family "Bacterial small subunit ribosomal RNA", at positions 120 to 827 of the family's 1533-position model. Lineage: Bacteria; Pseudomonadati; Pseudomonadota; Gammaproteobacteria; Alteromonadales; Alteromonadaceae. The record is from RNAcentral.